CCAGCAGCUGCGGUAAUUCCAGCUCCAAUAGCGUAUAUUAAAGUUGCUGCAGUUAAAAAGCUCGUAGUUGGAUUUCUGGUUUGGUGCGCCUAGCCCGCCACGGUUUCGUGUGUGAGUGUUGGGACGUUCCUGCCAUCCUUCUAGUUCCUUGUCUUGCCCCUCACGGGGUGGAGGCAGUGGGCUAGAUCUUUUACUUUGAAAAAAUUAGAGUGUUUCAAGCAGGCAUUUGUCGCUAUGAAUACAUUAGCAUGGAAUAAUCAUGUAGGACUUCGGUCUUAUUUUGUUGGUGUUUCUAAGGCUGAAGUAAUGAUUGAUAGGGAUAGUUGGGGGUGCUAGUAUUCAGUGGCCAGAGGUGAAAUUCUCGGAUUCACUGAAGACUAACUUAUGCGAAAGCAUUCACCAAGGAUGUCUUCUUUAAUCAAGAACGAAAGU
Molecule: ribosomal RNA, 432 nt
Filed under: uncultured eukaryote
Lineage: Eukaryota
Description: SSU rRNA
Rfam family: Eukaryotic small subunit ribosomal RNA
Source: RNAcentral